Molecule: ribosomal RNA, 527 nt
Filed under: uncultured bacterium
Lineage: Bacteria
Description: bacterial SSU rRNA
Rfam family: Bacterial small subunit ribosomal RNA
Source: RNAcentral
AAUAGAUACCCUGGUAAUCCACGCCGUAAACGAUGAGUGCUAAGUGUUAGAGGGUUUCCGCCCUUUAGUGCUGCAGCAAACGCAUUAAGCACUCCGCCUGGGGAGUACGGUCGCAAGACUGAAACUCAAAGGAAUUGACGGGGGCCCGCACAAGCGGUGGAGCAUGUGGUUUAAUUCGAAGCAACGCGAAGAACCUUACCAGGUCUUGACAUCCUUAUGACAUCUCUAGAGAUAGAGCUUUCCCUUCGGGGACAUAAGUGACAGGUGGUGCAUGGUUGUCGUCAGCUCGUGUCGUGAGAUGUUGGGUUAAGUCCCGCAACGAGCGCAACCCUUGAUCUUAGUUGCCAGCAUUCAGUUGGGCACUCUAAGGUGACUGCCGGUGACAAACCGGAGGAAGGUGGGGAUGACGUCAAAUCAUCAUGCCCCUUAUGACCUGGGCUACACACGUGCUACAAUGGAUGGUACAAAGGGUAGCGAGACCGCGAGGUUUAGCCAAUCCCAUAAAACCAUUCUCAGUUCGGAUUGCA